UUGGCGGACGGGUGAGUAACGCGUGGGUAACCUGCCCCAUACCGGGGGAUACCACCUGGAAACAGGUGCUAAUACCGCAUAAGCGCACGGGAGCGCAUGCUCCUGUGUGAAAAACUCCGGUGGUAUGGGAUGGACCCGCGUCUGAUUAGCCAGUUGGCAGGGUAACGGCCUACCAAAGCGACGAUCAGUAGCCGGCCUGAGAGGGUGGACGGCCACAUUGGGACUGAGACACGGCCCAAACUCCUACGGGAGGCAGCAG
Molecule: ribosomal RNA, 259 nt
Filed under: uncultured bacterium
Lineage: Bacteria
Description: partial 16S ribosomal RNA
Rfam family: Bacterial small subunit ribosomal RNA
Source: RNAcentral